Molecule: long non-coding RNA, 7095 nt
Filed under: Daucus carota (carrot)
Lineage: Eukaryota; Viridiplantae; Streptophyta; Magnoliopsida; Apiales; Apiaceae
Description: long non-coding RNA (DCAR_LNC006662)
Source: RNAcentral
CGCCUCUGCCAUUUUCAUACCUCAAAAUGGCUCUCAAAUUGAGUUUAUCCACCUUCCAAUGCCCAAAGAUUCCACCUUUUUCCAGAAAUCAGCCCACCCAUUUCAGAUCUCACACUCUCCUCAAGGCCUCUACUCUUGGCAUCCCCCCUUUGUAAGCUUCUUGCUUUCUUUCUUCUUUUUUUCAAGUUUUUUCAAGUGCAUGCUGUUUUUUUAUGCUCAAAAUGUGUUCUUUUGCUUAAAGUUAUGGUUUUUAUUGGAAUUGAUGCAUGCCCACUUAUCUUUCUGCCUCAUAGAAGAUCAUUUCAUGUGGGUUUGUUGAUUGUCUACAUUGUUUUUGAGUGUAUGAUGAACCUUUGUUAAUCAAUUUAGUUUUGAUUUUUUUUUUUUUAAAUUUGCUUGUUGAUUGUUUAGUAUGUGUUUGUUGUACCUAUCUGUCUUGAUUAAGGCCAGAGAAAAUUGAUGGUUUGGCAUAAUUUGUCUGUAUGACAACUUGACAAGAUUGCUUAGUUUUGGUGUAUUAGCUGAUUUAGUUUUUCAUCCACUUUUCUCAUCAGUUAUGUGUCUUGUCUUCUAUUCCUUAGAUUUGGUUGGUAGGGUAUUUAGUGGUUAUUUAUAUUUCUUGCAGUAUAUACUUGUUGAUGCUUCUUUGAUGCAUGAAAAGUAAUAUUCUAACAAAAAAAAGAAGUUCGGAAUUAAUGAAAAAUGUAUCUCAGACUUCAGCCAUGGCAACAUGUAUACCAUCACCUGGGAAUAAUCGAGAGGCUUUAAUUUUUGAUGACCCAGCAGAAGCCUUAAGAAGUUUUUUUAUGGCUUUUGCUGGAUACAAUAUGUGUUUUUUAUGUCCGUGUUCGGAAGAAUUACAUAUAUUUCCUUCUUUUUUUACCAUUUUUUUUAUGAGACUUGGUGCUGAAUGAUUAGUGAAAAUUACUCUGUUGUGGUUACAAGCCCAUCUCCUUCUCUGUAAGUUUGUUAUCCAUCCCCACUUAUCUUUAUAUUUGCUUCUUAAUUUUGAACUGUAUUGUUUAUUUAGGGAGGUUGAGAAUAAGAAGAAGCCUUUUACUCCGCCGCGAGAGGUACAUGUUCAAGUGACCCACUCUAUGCCAGAAGAGAAAAUCGAGAUCUUUAAAUCUUUACAUAAAUGGGCUGAGGAGGACCUCUUGGUGCACCUAAAGCCUGUUGAGAAAUGUUGGCAGCCCAAUGAUUUUCUGCCAGACCCAGCCUCAGAAGGUUUCAUGGACCAAGUCAAAGAGCUAAGGGAAAGAUCGAAGGAGAUUCCUGAUGAAUAUUAUGUUGUAUUAGUAGGCGAUAUGAUCACAGAAGAAGCUCUUCCAACUUAUCAGACAAUGCUUAACACACUUGAUGGUGUUAGAGAUGAGACUGGUGCUAGCCCCAGUCCCUGGGCUAUCUGGACCAGAGCAUGGACGGCUGAAGAAAAUAGGCAUGGAGACCUUCUCAACAAGUAUCUCUACCUUUCGGGUCGGGUUGAUAUGAGGCAAAUUGAGAAGACAAUUCAGUAUUUGAUAGGAUCAGGAAUGGUGAGAUCUUAAAUCAUAUUUUAAGUUAUGUUAGCAUAAGCUAGGGGUCAUAAGAUUAAGCUCUAAAUUCUGCAUUUUUCUUCCAAAAUAGAGCAUUUACUCCUGACAAUACUGCUCGCUUAUAAUUAACAUAAUAAUUUCAACAUGGUAGACUUCAGAACAUUUAAUAUGGGAUUAUUUAAAUCGAGCAUAAACUUAUUGAUUUCUAUGCUGCACUUGUUGCUACUGCCUCUUUUUCUCUUAAUUAAAUGAUUGUUUUCAUACCGAAUUUUGAUUGUACUCUUUGAUAAUGUGACAUUAAGUCAUUAUUGGUUCAUAGUUAAAGAUGCUACAUGAGGUUGCUUCUAUUUACUUUGUGAUUCUGUCACGGGCCUCUUUUUGAACAAUAUAGUUAGUUCUGCUUGUUCAGAUGUACAGAAUCUGUAACAUUUACAUUGAAUUGGAAGGUUGUUAAAAGAUAGAUUGUCGGCUUUGCUUUGUAAACAACUAUAAUUGCAUUAAACUUAGUGUGCCAUUUUGCUUGACACCCAUCUCAAACUUGUUUCUAAAUCUUUCUUCACUAUGUAUCCUCCGUGAUUUUUAGGAUCCUCGAACAGAGAACAACCCCUACCUUGGUUUUAUCUACACAUCAUUUCAAGAAAGGGCAACCUUCAUCUCCCAUGGUAACACAGCUAGGCAUGCCAAGGAAUAUGGAGAUCUAAAACUGGCGCAGGUAUGUGGUAUCAUUGCUGCAGAUGAGAAGCGCCAUGAAACUGCCUACACCAAGAUUGUGGAAAAGCUGUUGGAGAUUGAUCCUAGUGACACUGUGCUGGCUCUUGCUGACAUGAUGAAAAAGAAAAUCUCAAUGCCAGCUCACCUGAUGUAUGAUGGGCAAGAUGAUAAUCUUUUUGAUAACUUCUCAUCUGUGGCUCAACGGCUUGGUGUUUACACUGCCAAGGACUAUGCCGAUAUCCUUGAAUUCUUGGUGGGAAGAUGGAAUAUUGAGAAACUGGGGGGCCUUUCCAGCGAGGGGAAUAAAGCACAAGAUUAUGUAUGCGGACUAGCUCCAAGAAUAAGGAGGUUGGAGGAGAGAGCAGCAGGUCGGGCCAAGAAGAAGGGCACUGCUCCUUUCAGCUGGAUUUUCGGUAAAGAAGUUCAGCUCUAAUGCAAAACAGAAUGUAAGUCGGUCAUAAACAGCUUUUAUUUUAGGCAUAAUUAAUAGCCAAUGCUGAAUCAAGAAUCUGAGCUUUUUUUUUUUUUGGUCCUUGUAUCAGAAUCUGGAUAGAGUUCCAACUGAAGCUGGAUAUUGUACUCGUAUGGGCGGCUAUAUGAGAUUUGCUUGUAAAAAGAUGGCAAUUGUAGUGUGUUAAUGUUUUGUUUGUGGUCCAUACACUAUGAAAUAAUUAAUAUUUUGUUUCUCCAUAGAAGGUACCUUGUAAUGUAUGACGUGUUAGUAGAAUUUUGAACGUAGAAACAGCAUGUAUUCUACCGUGUCUGUGUUUUGUAAUGGUGGGUGUUUUGCAAUGGUGUUUUAUGUUCGAUAUUACUAUCUGAACUCAAAGCUUAGACAAUCGGUCCUUUUCAGAUCGGCUGCCUAAGCAUGCUCAGAUUUCUUAAAUUAUUUGUUACUCCCUCCGUCCCCCUAUACAUUGGGGGACGGGGACGCGGCACGGACUUUAAUGCUCCUGUAAAGUGUAGUUGUGUAAUUUAUUUUUAAAAUUUUCUUUUUCUGAAUUAAAGUUUGGAUGUUAUAUUUUUAUUCAGAAAAAGAAAAUCUCAAAAAUAAGUUACGGAACUAUAUUUUAUAAGAGCAUUGAAAUGCGUGUCGAACAGUUGAAAAGAAGCGUAUACAAUUAAAUGGGACAGAGGGAGUAUAUUUUUGGUCAGGAUGUUAUGCUCAGAUUUAAAAGUGAAUGUCUAUGGUUUUAGAAGAGAUCAUGUAUCUAUUUUUGGUAUCAGAUGAUUUGUCAAAGUUUUACAUUUGUGCUUUUGAAUCUAACAGCCAAGUUUAUUGUUUUGCUAGUUACACAUUCCUUUUACUAGUUACUCCGAAAUUAAAUAUGAUUUGUGAAACACAGUAUGUUAUCACAUACAAAUUGCAAACUUUGGUGAAAGCAAAGAAAGGUUGAGAAACCUGCCAAGAAAUAAAAAGGGGGAGAGGUUUCAAAUGUUGAAGUAUGAUGGUCUUGCAAGAAUCUAGUAACAUUUUAAAUCUCAAAAAAGAAAAAAAAAGAUGACCCCAACAUAAAGAUCACUUUUUUUCAUGCUCAAAAGAAUUAUACUAUGCGUCAUUGGUCUAAAAAUCAGUGAUUAACCGAUUAAUUCAUGUUUCAUAGCUUGCUGAAUUGAUUAAAUCUUUGAUUGUUUAAUUAAUCAUCCGAUUAAUCUCCUAUCAAUCCACUUAUUUUUCAAUUAAUCCUUGUUUCAUGUCUUGACCGAUUAAAUCCGAUUUUUGCAUUUUACAACACUGCUCUGCCCUGACUAUUGAUCAACAUCCCAGUUAGGAAUAUGAAUCAUACUCACUCAGUCCCCUGCCCUUUUGGCGGCCUAAAGUUUUCAUCUUUAUUGUUUUUGACAUGUUUGAAAGAUGUCCUUGGAGCAUCACUAUAGUUUCUGAUAGGAACUGGAAUGUCUCAACAUACCUAGCCAGACAAAGGCAAGGAUAUAAUUGUAUUUUGAAUCUAACACAAGCACUGCUCUGUGAGUCUGUGACACGUAAAAAAAAUGAUUGAUAAUAUAUCGUAAUGCGAAUUUGUACCGAGAAACAACCGAUUAAUAUAGUAUGAUGUGCCUGUUUGGCUACCAAUUUUUUGGUAAAAUAAGCACUUAGUUUUUUAAAAAUAAUACUCCCUCCGUCCCCCUCAUUUGUUAACAUUGGGGGACGGGGGCUCGGCACGCAUUCUAAUACUCUUGUAAAACGUAGUUCGAUAAAUUAUUUUGAACUUUUUUUUCUUCUAAAUAAAAAUUUGAUGUUUAAAUUUUCUAUACAAAAACGAAAAAUUUUAAAAAUAAAUUAUAGAACUAUGUUUUAUAUGCGCCUUAAAAUGCGUGUCGAGCAGUGUGAAAGAACCGUGAAGAAAUGAGAGGGACAGAGGGAGUACAUUUUUUUGGAUAAAAAUAUAAAAGAGAUAUUUCAUAUUCAUUAGUAUUUGAUUAAAAAAAAUAAAGAAAAAGUAAAAUUUUAUGUCGUGAUAGUCUAAUAGACAUGUACCCAUAGUUUCUUUAUAUUUUAUAUCAGCAAAGGGUAUAUUAGCUUAGUCAUGGUAACAAGAUGACUCAGUUUGUUCUUCAUUGUAAAUUAUUAAUGCAUUUUGUUGAUGAUAUCUCAUCAAAUUUCUUUUCUAAAAGAUUAGAAAAAGCACUUCUGUUAAUGUUCAAACUAUAACAUGGAUAUAUAUAACAAGAUUCCUGUAAUGGUAACAGAACUAUUUAGCUACAGGAACUAAUAUAACAACUUUACAAAUACACAUCACAUUUCACCAUUGCAUCUACAUAUGCUAUAGCUACACAUAGCGCUGCAUGGUGUCCGAUUAACUACCACAAACUACGAACAUACAGAAGUAUACUGCUUAUAGUUAGACAAAGAAUGGAUCUAAACUACCCCUCAUUUCCAGCCAAUAUUGAGAAAUGCUGCUUCUGUGCAACUGAGGACGACUUGCCAUGUAAAUCAAAAGUCUAUUUUAGUGAGCUUUGACCGGGGUAAAAUAUUAAUGUUGUUAAAAGGAGCCGCCUGUUCUACAUGGAUGUAAUCCUUUGUCUUCAAAACCUGAUAACCAACCAAAUGUCAGAUAAACGGAUUGUUAGAGCUGCAUCUAUGUGAGACAUGAAUAAUUUAAGGGGGAAACACAGCAGGAUUGCAAUUGUUUGUAUAUGAUCACGACAAAAAGUUGGAAUCAGGUUGAGGACGCUUCUAAACUACAAGUUAAAACACAGUUCAGACAAUUUUAAAAUAUCAACAGCUCAUGCUGCUUGUUUCAUACUAUGAAGAAUGUAUAACUGAAAACGACUAAAAGAAUAAGGAAUUGAAUAGGACAGUAUAAACUAACAAGAAUGGUCGGGACAACAAACAUUAGUAGCCUGCUCCUUUAUCUGAUUCAGGACUAAGGUGCCUACCCGGAUAUGGGUAAAUAAUGCAUAGCAGACACCAUUUAACCCCCUAAUAAAUUGGUAAGGUAAACAUAAAAAAUCAGACACAUGACAGGUGGACCAGCUGUUCACGGUAAUCUGAGAAUUUAGCAAGGAACAAACAGUGAACACCAACACCAAUACACCACCACUGAUCGUGAACUAUGGAAAGGUCUACACCCCCACACCAAUGAGACAGUAAAAUUCAUUUCAUACAAGAGGAAACAUCCAGGACAGACUACACAGAUUCCAUUACAUUUGUAUGAUGUUCAAGUUAAGAAAUUCCAUAACUUACCAGUGUUUCGAAAAACAUUCUUGAUGCCUCCUUGCGACUUUUACCUACCAGUAAGUUGUCAAUAGGAAGAACAUUCCGAUUGCGCUCUGCUUCUUUGUCAAACAUGAUCUGGAGGUACUUGGCAACAGCUCUGCGAUGAAAAUGACUUGUAACUUACACUAGAGCAGUUUUGACAAUUAAAAUGAUUAAAGAAGACCUCAAAUCAGAGAGAAUAAAUUAAUUACAGUAGACUGAAAGAGAUGACACGCUCGGGACUGAUGUGCAUAAACUAAAGUAAUGGAAAAGGGACAUGGUAUAUAGAAUGCUACAUAUAGGGUUAGUUUAAAGAAACAUAGGCACAUGUUUUAGAUUUUUCAUUUAGAAGAACUCUAGGUUCCUUAAAGUUCGUGGUCCAUGUCACGAAAAAUAUUAGGAGGCUCUCUAUAACUGGAAGCGCGAAACACACAUAAUGAAAAACGAAAAAGAAAAAGUACGUGUAGCUGAUUAUACAAUAAACAAUAAACAUCUGAUCUUUUUUAUCAGCAAGCGAUUAAGGUAACCUAAAUGUCCUUUAAAAUGAUAUUUUCUUAAGUUUAUUUUAGAAAUAGAGGUUACAUUUUACAAUAUAACAAUAUAACAGGUGAUGUAUUCAGAAAGGUAUCAACCGCCCGAAAGCCAUCUCUGAAGGGAAAUUGGCAAAUUACCGCUAAUUAAAUGUACAGGGUAACCUUUGUGCAAGGGAAAACACUAUUGACGGCUUAUUAAUUCGAGAUGCUAAAACCAUAUAAUUAUAAAAGCAAUUCACUGGGUACUUACCUAGUACGGGAUGACCAUCCACUGUUGUCAAUAAAGCGUGUUUCUUCAGUAUUAGGCACAUCUUCCUCAUCUGCUUCAGCUACUUCGUCCUCGUCAUAAUUAAGAAACUCUAAAGCCAAAAAGAUAACACAAAAACCCAAAUUUAAAAAUAGGACAAGAUGCACAACAUCUACAGCAAACGAGAGCCAAAAGUAAAGCAGUUUAUCAUAACAGGAUUAACUAUGGAGCUCCAUGGGUGUUCCUAUACCAAGUCCAAAACUAAAGAAAACUAAACUAGAGAAUCAGGAUCCGGGAGCAAAUAGCAAGGAAGUACACAAAGGAUACCAAAUUUGUAGAAACACAUGAAGUGAUAUACAAGUCAUUCCA